GCAACCUGAUGCUGGCGCGCGAGAACAUCGUGGUGUUCCGCUCGCUGCUCGGGAUCUCGUGGAUGUGGUUCUUCGGCGCCGUGUUCCUGAGCCAGUUCCCGAGCUUCGCGAAAGAAGUGCUG
Molecule: small RNA, 122 nt
Organism: Variovorax sp. Root473
Lineage: Bacteria; Pseudomonadati; Pseudomonadota; Betaproteobacteria; Burkholderiales; Comamonadaceae
Rfam family: Burkholderia RNA 11
About the family: Co-purified with Hfq, expression confirmed by Northern blot.
Source: Rfam